Molecule: long non-coding RNA, 654 nt
Filed under: Homo sapiens (human)
Lineage: Eukaryota; Metazoa; Chordata; Mammalia; Primates; Hominidae
Description: long intergenic non-protein coding RNA 342
Source: RNAcentral
GAGAAGGGAAGGAAGCCCAUGUGAGGACACUGAAGAAGGAGUGAGCAGACAAUAAGAAGCCCACAGAAGACAGAGAAGGAACAACUAGAGGGAGAAGCCAAGGCAGUUUCUCCACAGACACUACCCAAAGCAGUCCUUCACUACAGUGGCAGACAGACCUGAAAAUUUUCAUCUGAAGCAGCAGAGUGAACUGCAGAGUCAGGUCACCAACCAGUGUGGAGGCUAAAAGCGGGCCUCUUUGGGGAUUCCAGGAACAAAGAUCACCACAACUGGCUCCCCUUCAACUAUGUUAGAUGGCAACUUGCCUUCAGUAUGGUGAAACACAUCAGUUAAGACUGGGGUUGUGCAUGGCAGGACUUUCUACAAGGACACCCAGUCUCCUUAAUAAACAUGAGAUGCUCUCUUUCCAGAAGUUCUCUUGCCUGACACAGCAUAGGAAGAUGCUGAACGGCCACACAGUGACCCAUUGAGAUAGAAUCUCACUAUGUUGACCAGGCUGGUCUUGAACUCUUGGCACCCAAGCGAUCCUUUUGCCUGGAAUCCCAAAGUGUCAGAUUUACUGAAGAAUAUUUCAUUGUAAUUACUUUUUAUACUUUAUAGGUCAAGAGCUCUGUUUUAAAGACAAAAUUUAUUGAAUAUACUUUUUCAAACAAA